RNAcentral lists this long non-coding RNA (508 nucleotides) under Physcomitrium patens. RNAcentral's name for it is "long non-coding RNA (PPAT_LNC004425)". The record is from RNAcentral. Lineage: Eukaryota; Viridiplantae; Streptophyta; Bryopsida; Funariales; Funariaceae.
GCAAUUGUCAAUGUAAGUCUUCUAUAUGCUAUAUAAUUUUUAGCCCAAUCCAACUUACAAAUUGUGAGAAAACCUCCAAAAAUUGCACCAAUGUCACUCGGGCGCCAACUUGAAAAGUGAAACAAAAAUCCCAGCAUUGAUUUCUCCCUUUUCAAAUGUUAACUUUGAUUCAAAAUUGAUGUGCAGCUUGAUCUUCAAGUUCUUCAAGACUAUGCCAAAUUUCACUUUGAUCCAAUGAAUAGAUCUCCAGAUAUCACAGUAAUCCUACCCAACCUCAAACUGCCAACUUCCAAAACCCUCUUGUGCUAAAAACUAGAUAUCUCUAAACCACACCAUUAAAUUAUCACAAAAUUUUGUAUACACUUAGCACAUCUUAUAUUCCAAAGAAAGUCAAAUUUUCAACUAUAGAUGUUACACCAAUUGCAUGAACUAGCCAAAAUUGCUAGCCUCAAUUAUAUUAUAUAAAAUCCAAAUCACCAAUAUAAACCUUGAUUUUGAACAACAAUUG